This 474-nucleotide ribosomal RNA is filed under the name Triticum aestivum (bread wheat). RNAcentral describes it as "partial small subunit ribosomal RNA". Lineage: Eukaryota; Viridiplantae; Streptophyta; Magnoliopsida; Poales; Poaceae. The record is from RNAcentral.
AUGUGGACGGAUGAAGUUCAAGUCCAAGUGCAUUAUGUUGAUUUUCAUGUGAUCCUUUCCUCCGUAGGUAAUACAACCUCUAAUGUAUGUUUUGCACUUGUUUGUAUAUAUGGUGAUCUAUAUCAUCAUCAGACUAGUCAGAUAUGGGAUCGUGUUACCUCUUUUCUGUAUGUUAAUGAAAGCAAUCCUACCAUGUGUUUGGGAGAUCUUAAUGAUCUUCUCAAUGAUGUUGAUCAAAGUUCUCCCAUUGUGAAUACUUAUCGUAUGGAUGAUUUCCGUUCUAUUGUAAAGCAAUGUUUUUUUUACCUAGGUUAUAGGGGCCCGACCUACACUUGGUCUAAUAAGCCAUAUACCUCUAAGCCUACCAUGGAAAGAAUUGACGUAUGCUUGGAUAAUGCUAAUUGGUGUGUUGUUUUUCCUAACUCUAAUGUUUUCAAUGUGCCUAUCAUUUACAGUCAUCAUGCACCUAUGUGA